RNAcentral lists this ribosomal RNA (240 nucleotides) under uncultured bacterium. Its description in RNAcentral is "partial 16S ribosomal RNA". It matches the Rfam family "Bacterial small subunit ribosomal RNA", at positions 523 to 755 of the family's 1533-position model. The record is from RNAcentral.
UGACGUAGGGUGCAAGCGUUUGUCCGGAAUUAUUGGGCGUAAAGAGCUCGUAGGCGGUCUGUUACGUCGGCUGGUGAAAAACCCUGGGGCUCAACCCCGGGCCUGCAACCGAUACGGGCAGACUAGAGUUCGGCAGGGGGAGACUGGAAAUUCCUGGUGUAGCGGUGGAAUGCGCAGAUAUCAGGAGGAACACCGGUGGCGAAGGCGGGUCUCUGGGGCAGUAACUGACGCUGAGGCACG